RNAcentral lists this transfer RNA (72 nucleotides) under Pangasianodon gigas (Mekong giant catfish). Its description in RNAcentral is "tRNA-Glu". It matches the Rfam family "tRNA". Rfam says of the family: Transfer RNA (tRNA) molecules are approximately 80 nucleotides in length. Their secondary structure includes four short double-helical elements and three loops (D, anti-codon, and T loops). Lineage: Eukaryota; Metazoa; Chordata; Actinopteri; Siluriformes; Pangasiidae. The record is from RNAcentral.
UCCCUGAAGGACUAGUGGUUAGGCCACAGUGCUUUCACCACUGCAGCCUGGGUUCAAUUCCCAGCCAAGGAA